GAUGAACGCUGGCGGCGUGCCUAAUACAUGCAAGUAGAACGCUGAAGGAAGGAGCUUGCUCUUUCCGGAUGAGUUGCGAACGGGUGAGUAACGCGUAGGUAACCUGCCUGGUAGCGGGGGAUAACUAUUGGAAACGAUAGCUAAUACCGCAUAACAGUAGAUGUUGCAUGAUAUCUACUUAAAAGGUGCAAUUGCACCACUACCAGAUGGACCUGCGUUGUAUUAGCUAGUUGGUGAGGUAACGGCUCACCAAGGCGACGAUACAUAGCCGACCUGAGAGGUUGAUCGGCCACACUGGGACUAUGACACGGCCCAGACUCCUACAGGAGGCAGCAGUAGGGAAUCUUCGGCAAUGGACGGAAGUCUGACCGAGCAACGCCGCGUGAGUGAAGAAGGUUUUCGGAUCGUAAAGCUCUGUUGUAAGAGAAGAACGAGUGUGAGAGUGGAAAGUUCACACUGUGACGGUAUCUUACCAGAAAGGGACGGCUAACUACGUG
RNAcentral lists this ribosomal RNA (497 nucleotides) under uncultured bacterium. RNAcentral describes it as "partial 16S ribosomal RNA". It matches the Rfam family "Bacterial small subunit ribosomal RNA", at positions 28 to 507 of the family's 1533-position model. The record is from RNAcentral.